GCCAAAAAAAAGAAAAGAAAAACUAAAUGGAAAGCUAGUCAUUAGGAAAUAUUUGAAGUCGUAGGAUAUGGGUUAUAUUGUCACUUAAAGUGACUAGAAAAGUUUCUUUGUUUUUAGAUCACUGAGAAAAAAUUCUACUUUGUGGAUAUACUGUUUGUCUCUGAACCAUAAAGAGAAUCAAGAUUUGUCUUCUCUUAGUCAUAUGGUGCUGAAGUAUUCUUAUAGUGAAACCCUAAGAAUUUUGACUUGGGGAAGCAUUAUCUUUCUUUGUUAUAGAAUUGUUUCUUUUAUUUUUUUAACUUUAUCCCUUCAUAGUAUUUUUAAAGUGGUCUGUUCAGAGUUAAUUUAUGUAAGUCUUUUAAUCACC
RNAcentral lists this long non-coding RNA (367 nucleotides) under Bos taurus (domestic cattle). RNAcentral's name for it is "long non-coding RNA NONBTAT006786". The record is from RNAcentral. Lineage: Eukaryota; Metazoa; Chordata; Mammalia; Artiodactyla; Bovidae.